Arachis stenosperma is the source of this 724-nucleotide long non-coding RNA. RefSeq lists it as uncharacterized. NCBI's taxonomy places the organism in Eukaryota, Viridiplantae, Streptophyta, Magnoliopsida, Fabales, Fabaceae. The record is from RefSeq and is a predicted model, not a curated record. The transcript is spliced from 2 exons.
GCAUCGGUGUAGCUCUUAUGAAGAUUGCUGCCUGGAAAUGAAACGUUGAGAGGGGUCCAACAAGAUUCGUCCAUGGAAUGUUUGUAACCACUUCCAUCCUCCUUCAGCGGAGAAGCAGCUACAACUGAUGCUGUGUAAAUCAGCCGUCUAACUGUUCCUGUUUUUAUGCAUUGCGCAACUAUGCUUUUUACCCCUUCUGUUGCAGCUUCAGCUACACCCUUAUACUGCUACCAGGGAGUAGCAAGGUGAAAGACAAAGUCACAGCCUUGAAUUGCAGCCUCAAAUUGAUGUGGACUGUACAAAUCUGCCUCAAAUAACACCAGCUUUUCUUUUGCCUCUGGAAACCCUCUCAGAAUGCCUGUCUUUGCGUCCUCUGCAAUAUAUAUGAAAUCAACAAAUAAUGGAUCUGAUAUGCCAAUAAUAAAUAAAUAAGAUUUCAUAAUAAUUAUAAUCAUAUCAUAUAUACUUAAGCUUCUAAGGGUUGCGUGGACAGUGUAGCCCUUUUGGAGAAGCUUGUUAACGAGGUAAGAACCAAUGAAGCUGCCACCGCCGGUGACGCAUACCUUCCACUCCCUCUUCUUCUCCAUCGUUAUCUAUCUUUUUCCUCCUCUUCUCUUACCACCCACUACUGCAGUGUUUUAGAAAGGUCGGAACCAUCACUAUCUACUUUUUUCAAUAUUGUGUAUAAUGUAUUAUAUUUAUUUCAUCGAGACUAAUUCACUCA